Long non-coding RNA from Populus trichocarpa (black cottonwood), 694 nucleotides. RefSeq lists it as uncharacterized. The record is from RefSeq and is a predicted model, not a curated record. Lineage: Eukaryota; Viridiplantae; Streptophyta; Magnoliopsida; Malpighiales; Salicaceae. The transcript has 2 exons.
AUGGUGGUGAGGAACCACUUGAGAACAGGAAACAUGAGAACUUCCAUUGUUUCUCUGUGAUGGUUACUGCAUUGGGCACAUAAAAUCCAAGGAAUGAGAAUAACAGGAAAUAUGCUUAUUUUUGUAAAUCAGAGCCGGCCCCUCGUAAGAAACUAACAUAACAAUGAUUUUUGGCUUCUUUCUUGACCUCAUCCAUGGAAGUUGUACUAUAAAAAUAUGAGGUAUCAUGGGAAGUCAUAUCUCACUGCAGAAGGAGAAUCCACUGGCGAGGAGGGAAAGAGCAGAGGAAAAGGAAGGAAGACACUGAAAUGGCGAACCACAAACCAGCCUUGUUCCUCAGCUCAAUUUUGAUGCUCUCGCUUGUCCUCGCUGUCUCCAUGGCUGAAAGCCGAAUUCUUGGAUUGACAGGAUCCCUCAAGGGCAAGACUCCAGAAUGUGAUGAAGUGUUUGGAGUGGGAAGUGGAGACAAUUGCUUUGACAUUACACAAACAUUCAAUUUGACCACCAAAUUGUUUGACUCUAUCAACCCUAAUCUCAACUGUGAUGCUCUCUUCGUGGGUCAAUGGCUAUGUGUUGCAGGAUCAGCUUGAAGACUGAAUUAAGUUGUUAAUCAGUUGCUUAUCCUUUCCAAGGCAUCUCGAAAUAAACAAGUAUUGUAUGAAUAAGGAGAUUAUGAACUCCAUUUAUUUCCUUG